RNAcentral lists this ribosomal RNA (252 nucleotides) under Muribaculum intestinale. RNAcentral describes it as "partial 16S ribosomal RNA". It matches the Rfam family "Bacterial small subunit ribosomal RNA", at positions 524 to 776 of the family's 1533-position model. Lineage: Bacteria; Pseudomonadati; Bacteroidota; Bacteroidia; Bacteroidales; Muribaculaceae. The record is from RNAcentral. RNAcentral also lists the same sequence under 1 other name.
UACGGAGGAUGCGAGCGUUAUCCGGAUUUAUUGGGUUUAAAGGGUGCGCAGGCGGCGUGCCAAGUCAGCGGUAAAAAUGCGGUGCUCAACGCCGUAUAGCCGUUGAAACUGACAUGCUAGAGUGAGCGAGAAGUAUGCGGAAUGCGUGGUGUAGCGGUGAAAUGCAUAGAUAUCACGCAGAACCCCGAUUGCGAAGGCAGCAUACCGGCGCUCAACUGACGCUCAGGCACGAAAGUGCGGGGAUCAAACAGG